Molecule: small nucleolar RNA, 137 nt
Organism: Suncus etruscus (white-toothed pygmy shrew)
Lineage: Eukaryota; Metazoa; Chordata; Mammalia; Eulipotyphla; Soricidae
Product: small nucleolar RNA SNORA4
Exons: 1
Source: RefSeq, a predicted model, not a curated record
UUACCAAAAGUUAAGUUUUUGGGGAGGUUAUUCAGUGACCUUUGCCAGCUUGAGCUCUUUGGGAGAAUAAACUUGAAGACCACACUCCACAGUGGGCUGUGCCACUCAUAGCUCACUACUAUUUUGUGGCCUACAUU